Molecule: long non-coding RNA, 2855 nt
Organism: Oncorhynchus gorbuscha (pink salmon)
Lineage: Eukaryota; Metazoa; Chordata; Actinopteri; Salmoniformes; Salmonidae
Exons: 2
Source: RefSeq, a predicted model, not a curated record
UUUAUUUUAUUGUGUGUUUUAUUUCAUUGUGUGUUUUAUUUCAUUGUGUGUUUUAUUUUAUUGUGUCUGUUUUAUUUCAUUGUGUGUUUUAUUUUAUUGUGUGCUUUAUUUGUCGUGAUUUUACUGGAUUGUCUUGUUGCUCAGUGUCUGAAAUCCUGGAUUUCCCUGCUAUGCAACAAGACUCACAAUCAUGUGGGGGAAGGCAUCACCAGAUAUCUGUGUCUUUCCCUCUGUACAGACCACCUUGUAUAUAGAAGCCUGUGGACUUCUUGGAGAAAUAGAGGUAUCAUCUAUUGCAUGGUUAUGCAUAUGAUGUUAUUGUGUAUUAAUAGAAUAUGAAAAAGUGACAAUGUCCAUGUGCAAUAUUCUAUGUCUGUCUGUCUGUUUUUGGUUUCCUUUGCUCUCUUGCCAGGUGUCUUCGCUGUUAAUCCUCCCACUGACUCUUGCUGUUGUUCUGUAUGGUUUUAACAGUGUAUGCAUGGCUGUUUUCAUUUGCCUGUCGUUAACCCCAUUGAUAGCCAUGUCUAUGUGCUUCCUUCAGAGUGUUCCAUCAAACCACCUCUCCACCCCUCUCCUUGCCCUCUCUCAACUCUUUUGAAAAAAGGUCAACAUUUCCUAUAGCAUAUCUCUUUAAAAAGGUCAACAUUUCCUGUAGCAUAUCUCUUUAAAAAGUCAACAUUUCCUGUAGCAUAUUUCUUUAAAAAGUCAACAUUUCCUGUAGCAUAUCUCUUUGAAAAAAGGUCAACAUUUCCUAUAGCAUCUCUUUUUAAAAAGUAAACAUUUCCUACAGCAUAUCUCUUUAAAAACUCAACAUUUCAUAUAGCAUAUCUCUUUAAAAAGUCAACAUUUCCUAUAGCAUAUCUCUUUAAAAAGUCAACAUUUCCUAAAGCAUAUCUCUUUAAAAAAGGUCAACAUUUCCUGUAGCAUAUCUCUUUAAAAAGUCAACAUUUCCUGUAGCAUAUCUCUUUGAAAAAAGGUCAACAUUUCCUAUAGCAUCUCUUUUUAAAAAGUAAACAUUUCCUACAGCAUACCUCCUUAAAAAGUCAACAUUUCCUAUUGCAUAUCUCUUUAGAACAUUAAUAUUACCAAAGGUAGUAAAUCUAUUGGAUUCAUGAAGCUUAUAGAAACCAUCGACCUUCUAAUGCAUUCAAGCCAAAUAACUCUCUGGCCAAGAUACUGUAUGUGAUAUUGUAAGCCUACACCAAAUCAAGGUAAAGUCAAAUCUACUGUCAUAUUCUGUCAGUAGAACACAAAAAGAACAAUGUUGGUUUGUUAUGAUAUUGCAAGUUGUACAUUCCAUUUUAGAGUAGAAACUUGAAAGUAACUUUCAAAUGUUGGAUUCAUAACAGUAGGACUAUUUGCAAUUGAAGAGGUAGUGUAGUAGUGAUAGUAUGACUACUGUAGAAGUAGCAGUAGCAGUUGUUAUUGUAGUAGUAGUAGUAGUAGUUAUUGUAGUAUUAUUAGUAGCAUGUAUAACAGUGCUAGUGCUACUAGUACUAGCAAUUAUGCUAUGGGGAGCAGGAGUAACUGCAGCAACAGUGGUUGUAGCAGCGUUAAUAGGUGACGGUAUCAUGGAAUCAACUGUCAAAAAAGACUGAUGCCCCUGCCCCACACACACCACUGCAUGAAGGCCGCUCAUACACCCAAAGCAAUACUGAUGCCCCUGACCCACACACACCACUGCAUGAAGGCCGCUCAUACACCCAAAGCAAUACUGAUGCCCCUGCCCCACACACACCACUGCAUGAAGGCCGCUCAUACACCCAAAGCAAUACUGAUGCCCCUGACCCACACACACCACUGCAUGAAGGCCGCUCAUACACCCAAAGCAAUACUGAUGCCCCUGACCCACACACACCACUGCAUGAAGGCCGCUCAUACACCCAAAGCAAUACUGAUGCCCCUGCCCCACACACACCACUGCAUGAAGGCCGCUCAUACACCCAAAGCAAUACUGAUGCCCCUGACCCACACACACCACUGCAUGAAGGCCGCUCAUACACCCAAAGCAAUACUGAUGCCCCUGACCCACACACAACACUGCAUGAAGGCCGCUCAUACACCCAAAGCAAUACUGAUGCCCCUGCCCCACACACACCACUGCAUGAAGGCCGCUCAUACACCCAAAGCAACCACACCUUUGAAACAGCUGCACCUAUGUCAAUUAAUCACAUGACCCCCAACAUGAGAACAGUGUUAAAGAGAGGACAUUUGUGUUUUGUUUUGUAAGAUGGCAGACGCCCGUCCUACUCCGACCCAUAUGGACGGUGUCCCUAGAGGUCCAAAAUGCUCCAUGCCAAAUCCUUAACUCCAACUUUCUAUGGUCCUUCUUUUAUUGUGUACUUUUUAAACUGUUUGUAAAAGGAAGAAAACAACUCAUAGGAAACUCACUUGUCUGUUGUAAGGUCAGUGAAGCAGAUGAAUGAGUACAAUGUACAUUGUUGAAGAAGUACAUCUGGCGGAAUAUUAUGUGUUUGUUACAUACAAUAGAAUAAAAGACACAGUGGUGGGCCACAUGCAUUAUAUUACUGUAUGUACCUCUGUACAUGUAGGGUUUCCUAAUGGAGACUACUUCUGUAAUAAAAGCAUGCUCAUUUAAGAAUAUCUAUUGGAAUGUCUUUUUAAUCCAGAACGACAUUGAUUCUGGGUCUGGGAAUCUGGACAAUAGUAUUGGACUUCUGGUUUCUGUAUUGUGAAGCUUUCUAUGUACAGUUUGUCACCUGGCUAUUUUAUUUUGAAGUCCUUUGGCAUUCAUUACUGUAUGUCAUUGUAAGCAUUUUGGCUGUGGGCCAAAAGGAUGUGAAUGUGUACUGUUGGUUUUUGGAACUUAUUAAAUAUAAUGAUGUCAAAUCAAA